This 253-nucleotide ribosomal RNA is filed under the name uncultured bacterium. RNAcentral's name for it is "partial 16S ribosomal RNA". It matches the Rfam family "Bacterial small subunit ribosomal RNA", at positions 524 to 776 of the family's 1533-position model. The record is from RNAcentral.
UACAGAGGUCUCAAGCGUUGUUCGGAUUCAUUGGGCGUAAAGGGUGCGUAGGCGGGACCGUAAGUCCGAGAGGAAAUCUCAAGGCUCAACUUUGGGGCUUUCUUGGAUACUGCGGUUCUUGAGGAUAUCAGAGGAAAGUAGAAUUCCCGGUGUAGCGGUGAAAUGCGUAGAUAUCGGGAGGAAUACCAGUGGCGAAGGCGACUUUCUGGGAUAUUCCUGACGCUGAGGAGCGAAAGCGUGGGGAGCAAACGGG